UGCAGCAUGCCGCGUGCGGGAGGACGCCCUUCGGGGUGUAAACCGCUUUACUAGGGGACGAGACAGGACGGUACCCUAGCAACAAGUCACGGCUAACUACGUGCCAGCAGCCGCGGUAAGACGUAGGUGGCAAACGUUAUCCGGAAUUACUGGGCGUAAAGGGUCCGUAGGCGGCUGCGCAAGUCGGACGUGAAAGCUCCCGGCUCAACUGGGAGAGGCCGUUCGAUACUGUGUAGCUGGAAUCUGGCAGAGGUCGGUGGAAUUCCUGGUGUAGUGGUGGAAUGCGUAGAGAUCAGGAGGAACGCCAAAAGCGCAAGCAGCCGGCUGGGUCAAGAUUGACGCUGAGGGACGAAAGCGUGGGGAGCGAACAGGAUUAGAUACCCUGGUAGUCCACGCCGUAAACGCUGUGUACUAGCCAUCUGGCCUGUGAUGGGUUGGGUGGCGCAGCUAACGCGUGAAGUACACCGCCUGGGGAGUACGGCCGCAAGGCUAAAACUCAAAG
RNAcentral lists this ribosomal RNA (502 nucleotides) under uncultured bacterium. RNAcentral's name for it is "bacterial SSU rRNA". It matches the Rfam family "Bacterial small subunit ribosomal RNA", at positions 387 to 906 of the family's 1533-position model. The record is from RNAcentral.